AUCCCAAAUAAACUUCUAUCUGUUUAUUUGAUUCAUGGGAGGCAUAUAUUGAUAUUGGGAGUUCGCUGAUAGCACCUUACUUUUUUCCAGGGGGUGUUUCAAUAGUACCUCUCCAUACACAA
Non-coding RNA from Solanum tuberosum (potato), 122 nucleotides. The record is from Rfam. Lineage: Eukaryota; Viridiplantae; Streptophyta; Magnoliopsida; Solanales; Solanaceae.